UGGAGUUUCCAUGCAUUUCACUGAGAAAGCACUGCCACCUUUGACAUUUCUGGGCUAGCCAGCAGGAUGACUUUCAUUCCUUUAAGGCCCUAAUUUAACCAAAACAGUGGAUAAGAAUCACUUGGGCGUUACCCGCUUCCUCGUCUGGGAUUCUGCAGCACAUUGUACAGAAAUUUUGGCUGUAUGGGUUUAUUUAAGAGAGCUACCUCUUCCUUUCAUGACACACUCUCAGAGGAUGACAUCAUUGUGAGAAGGGGCACUCUUUUGUAAGGGAAGCAGGAUUCUUGAAAGGGAAAAACACACUCAUCAUUACAAAUUGCUCCAAAGGUCAGCGAUUGUAGUGCUGCAACAGCCAACCUUUCUGCUGAGACAAUCCUGUCUCCCUUCUCAGCAGAGGCUCUCAGCUCUGCAAAGGCACUGAAAAUCAGGGCAAAGUCAAACUGCAGGAAAGCCAGCAGCCUGCUCAUUAAGCUUUCACAUGUCUCUUUAUCCUCAUUAUUCCAAAGGCCUUAAUGUUAUUCUGAGAUGACUUUUAAGGCAACCUAACUAAUAUGGGUUAGGUAGUGGUUAUAAUUUCUUGCUAAAAUCUGCUCAGUGAUGUUAUUCUGGGAUUAUUUUAAUGAGAGUUGGACAUAAAAUAUGUCUUGGCUGACAUUACUGAACUGCCUCACACCAAAUCACAAUUCCCAUAUAAUGCCUUUUGGAAGGCAUCCUACUUCACUCUUUAGCAUUGUAGCAAUGAAAUUGUAUCUUGCUUGUUUAAUUACCAUUAAGCCUAUGAUUAAAGAUAGAUCUAUCUGUACACUCUUAUUCUGCUGCAUCCAUGCAAAGUGUAAGUUUAAAUCAGUGUUUUUCUGGAGCUGCCAGCCACCAGAUACCUAGUAAUCUCUUACUUGCAUAGACCCCCCAAAUUUUACCCAGCUGCCUACAUAAACCAGCUAAAGGAGGAGAAGUAGAAUCUUUUACAAACCUUUAAAUUUUUGGCAGCAGAAUUGCUGGCAUGUUAUGCUAGGUUUCACAUCUAGGCUGCAUUAAGACAAAAUUGGGAAACAGAGAAAAACAUGGAGAAAGUAAAUUUGAAAUCUUGGCUUUGAUGAUGAGUUAUAUAAAUGAUGUUAGGUAUGGUUUUGGUAUCACCGCAGCGCACACUAAAGAAUACAAAUGAAGGAAAAAUAAGUCAGUAUUGGUGCAAGAUAAUUUGCAAACACUACUUCUGCAUCCAAUGCCACUUCUGGGUUAAGAUGAUUUAAAUCUGCUUGUAUCAUACUGAUCGUUUAGAUCCCUCCAGAGAAGAUGUUGUCACCCCACAAGUUAUCUUUCUCUCUCUUCCUUCUGCAGACAGACACAACAGCCCUCCCUACCCCAACAUUUGCUGUUUUCACCUUGUUCUUAGCCAGUUUUUAGCAGUCUUCUUAGGUUGGGAUCAUAUAAACGCACGUCAGCGUUGACCAUCAGAUUAUGAAUUAUAUUUACACUGAGUGCAAAACAAAAUCUCUCGUGUCUGUCUCUGGCCAAGCCAGGAUUCCAGGCUCUCUGCUUUGUGCACAGGCUGAGGCAAAGUUACAGCAGUGGGUGCAAAAGUGAGAUAACCACUUUUGUUAGGACAGAGAAGGGAAGCUACAGCCUCCAAAGUUAAUCAUGUUUAUGAUGUGACUUUUCCUUCAGAUUUCUGAACAUUUGAACCUCCCCAGUAUGUUAUCCAGAUAGCUCUACAAAUGAGAAGUUAGGAGUCCUAUUGCUUGCUUACUACCCUCAGAUAAUGUCUAAAUUACAUUUUGAAUGGUUUAUGUUAAGGGAGAUAUUCAUGUACCUUCACACACCUGCCAAAAGAAACAUUCCCAAAACAGGAAAAGCAGUGGUUACCCUGAAAACACAGUGCAGUUGACUCAGAGGCCACACAGAACCUGGAAAGUGGUUUUAUUUUUCAAAAUGUGUUCUGUUGUGGAGGUGAGGCGAGUGCCAGUGGUACUGCGUGGCCUGGGAGGAAGAGAAGGGAUGGGAAUAUCCGUGUUCCCUGGGAGAUGCCUGUGGCCAGGACGUACGCAGCACCUACCAGAACCUGCUCAUGCUUCCAGCUCAACACACAUCCCAGGGGAAGGAUGCCUCCAGAUGCUGGUGGGAAUUGAAGCCAUCUGCAAGGAAAGAGAAAGAUGCAGCGUGGUAAGCAACUGAAACAGUGACCUCUGGCCUAAAAGCAGCCAUCCCACCCCUCUUUUCCCAGGGCAGAAGAGGAAAGCUGUGCUGGGAUGGGAAUGCUGGCAAAUCGGCUCUGUGCCUCGCAUUAUCUCUACCAGCCUGACACAGAAAAUCUGGCCUUGGCAUGGGCUCUGAGUGCUGGGGGAGCUCAGUAAAAACAUCAGUGAGAGGACCCUCAGCAGGAAAAGACAGGUUUGCAUGGUCCUUUGCCCACUUGAGUGAGUGGGGUGGCAGAGGACCUGCAAGUGUGGCAGAAUGCUGCAUGUUCUGCUUGUGGGCAGCAGAAAUUCAGGGCUCCCACCUGCAGCACCCAAAUGUAAGUAGCAGAUUCUGUGGGCAGACAAAAAUAGCAGCACACUAACAAGCUGGCAGGAGCAUCUCUUGAGUCGCAGUGAGUGCCUCAGUAUUGCUGUUACAGCUUUUGAUCAAAAUUGGUUGUUUCUUUUUUUUUCCUUUCCUGAAAGGCUGCCUUUAUAUGCACUAUUUGAAAUGGAUGUGAAGUUUGGAACUGAAGAACUUCUAAAUAUUAAAUAUAAUUAUCUUCAAGUCUCCAUUUUCAAAAAGGGUAAGACAGCUUUAUAGCAAAGCAAGUCAAGGCUAUGGAAAAUAUUUCAAUGACAUUGGCUCAAGAAAAGGGUUUCUUUGAAGGGCACUAAAGGAACUUUUCUGUUAAAUACCUGGAGAUACAAAUUCACCCCAUAACCAGUGCUGUAGGAAAUGACCUGAAAUACCAAUGUUUUAUGGUAUUUAUUGAGGAGUUUUACAUUCUUUUCAUUCAAAGGCAUCUGUGAAGUACACUAUUUUCAAAUCAAAUAAGAACGUUGGAGUUUACCAUCUCUGGGGGUGGAAGCCAGGAUGUGAUGCACUCACUGCAAACCCUACUGGAACUGACCCUGCAGCAUCUCUGAAAUGCAAAAGCCACACCCAGAAAACUUUAGAUGCCCUAAGCAACAUUAAGGGGACUAUAUGACCCUAACUCUGAAAUCCCAAACCCUGCCUGUUUAAUAACUCCUGGAACUUACUGGACUGUUUUCCUGACUCCCCUCUCUGACCAGCUUGGUCGGAGGCACCUCAGGGUUUUUCCUUCUUAUUUCCUGGCUCCUGCUUUAACCUUACUGGGACGAGGUCCUAGCAGGUCCACUGUCUCCUCUGAGGUCCAGCUCAUGCUGUGGCAGCAGCAUCCAGCUUUUACAUGCUCACAAGAUGGCUCCUGGGAUUAUUUAUCUUGUUUGUUUUUGUUCAAUCCAAUAGUUAUUUAAUAUAAAAAUCAUAUAAAGUGAUAGGAGCAAAUCUCCCCUUCCUUGGGAGUUCCUUCAUUUAUAGAAUUUAUGGAUUUAGAGAUUCUCAUUGUUAUGAUAGUUUUUUCUCUAAGAAAUUAAUAAUUCCUUCUUUUUUUUGCAGACUUGCUGAGUCUCUUAGAGCUGAGUGGAUGACAAUUUUUUCACAAUGAGGGUUGUUUAAAGGGAAGUAUGUGAUGGCAAGUUUCUUCCUGACAAAAAGGUACUCCCAGGAAGAACACCAGCUUGCCUGGAUCGCAGAGCAGCAGCACUGCAGAAAUUUGUUACUGAGUCUGUAACACCCUGUGUGAUUUGAGAGUACCUAAAGGAAAAUAUAAAGCUUCUGUCCAAUAUUAUGAAACCUCUAUGCCAGAAAUCUUCUGGGAAUGCAGCACAGCAUCUCUUGUCAAGUCUUGUCAUGAAUCUUCCAGACAAGAAGGGGUUUCUAAACCUUGUGAAUUAUCCUUCCAUAAGUUGCUUCCUGUAGCAAAGGGGCCCUGGGACACCCUUUUUGAAGCUCAUCUAGAGAAGCAGAUCCUGAGGAGCGAGAACAAGGAGCUGAAAAAUCCCUCCUGAAGCAUUUUCCUGCAGAGGCAGAGGCAUGCCACCAUGUGAGAUUAAUAGAUUCAUAUGGCAGACAGCCUUGUGUUUUUUCUGAGGUGUGUUCUCGUGUAAGUGCUCUCCAAAGAGACAUGCUGGCAGCUGAAAUAAUGGUCACGUUCACUCAAAGAGUGUGCUAGGCCCAGGUCCCUGGAUAGCUCUGGUUACCUGCAAAGGACAGGGUUCUGAGGGAGCCCUGCAUGGAGGUUUUUAUGUGACAGCAGGAGGAGGUGCUUUCUUCCUUGUUUACGUUAGUGUAAAGCAUGAGAAGCCAGACAGUGAAUGAUCUCCAGCCAGACCACCCAGAGGGUGCACAUGGGUGUCCACAGAAUGACCAUCUCUGCACUGUGGUGAUGGGGGUGGCAGCUCUGCAUCAUCUCUGCAUGCAUAUUUUGUCCUAUUACGUGCACAAAACCACAGUCCCACGCUCCUCAAGGUUGACCCUGACAACCACAAUGCAGCUGACAGAGUUAAUGUUUAAAAAUAAAAGAUGCCUCCAUGGGAAUAUCCUCAUGGGGCAGAAAAAGGGAGAUACUGCUGGUGAGGUUCAAAUCUAUUGUUUGUAAGAGAGGUCUGAAAGAAGUAUGAGAGAAGAAUAAUAUCCCAUAUUCUUUCUUUGACCCAUGAGAAUAUGGAGUAUCUGAAAACUGAACUUCCCUGUAAGAGGACAAAAAAAAUGACCAGCCUCAAAUGGUUUGGGGGUCUCUGCAUGAGAAUAUAUCUAUUUGUCUGCUUUUAGGUAGAAACUCUCAGCAAAAAAAAAAACCCUUACAUUUUGUAAUCAGCCUAUCUGACUGACAUUCUAAAACUGACUUCAUUUUUCUCAUGGGAAAGGAAAACAGGGAGAUUUUUGCUUUAGUUAUAUAUUUCCCCUCAAAAUAAAAAGCAGCUAGAUCAAGAGCAGCUUUAGGACACGGAAACAAGUAAAAUUCCCAGGGCAAAAAUACCUAGAGAGAAGUUCAGAAGUUAAGCAGCAAAUUUCACUGACUAUACGUCUCCCAUUGCAUGGUCAGAUUAUUUUCUAAAGUACGCCACUGGCAUCCAUAUCAUCCACUGUAUCUUAAGGUGUGUAAGGGAAUGGGGAAUUUGUCUGAAGACCAUAAACUGUUAUCAGUAUUCAGAAUGACUCACACAAGCCAUGUUAAUUGCAGUUAAACAGACAUUACUGGCAACAAGCAAUAGAGUAGAAGCGAGAAGCAGAUUUUUGGUCUGAUUUUGAGACAAUAUGAGAAUACCCCGCGGGUUUUUUCAUCCUUUUUUUUUUUUUUUGUUGGUGUUUUUUUUUUGUACACCUUUUGAAUGUUAAUAUUGUGCUGAAGAAGAUUUCAGACCCUCUUCAGAGUGGCUGCUGUACUCAGCCAGGCAGGAUCCACUGCAGAGCUGCUGAGGCAGGGCUGAAACUAUAGCCUCACUUUAAGAAAACGACAGCAUUGUGAGCUGAUUGCUUCUUACACACGAAUAGGGUUUUCAAUUGAAUUUGUGGGGCUUUUUUGUGUAAAAUUCUAAGCCUUAAAACCACAGCUUUUUAACUUGCGUAUUCACCAUUCCUUUGACAGUCCCUGAUCAUUUAUGUUUAGAAAUAUAAGUGCAGAAGAAUGGAAGCUAACUACCUCUUAACUGCUGUGGGAAAUGGUUCAAGUUCCCUCUCAACUAGAUGAAGAGAAAGACAUUUCCUCAUAAUUGCACCCCGAAGUGGGAGGUGAUGACUCUGAUCAAGGGAAUGUGGAACAAUGUUCAAGUGAGGCAAUUUGAUUCCUGUGUGGAGUUUGGAAGCUGCUAACUGAGGACUAUUUUGGAGAACUUGGCUGGCCAGCAUCUCUGAUACCAGACCAGACUUUGAAUGAAAAGAUAGUUAUUCCAGCCCUCAAAGGAGUCUCUGGCACAUCGCUAUGCCUCACAAGGAUAUGUAUUUGCUCUGGAAAGGCUGAAAUAUUAAUGAGAUUGCAAAGGGAGGGUCUGUGUGCUAAUGCAGCUGUGCUCUGCAGCUCUGCAUCACUCUGUGAACUCUGAGCAAAUGUGUAAUGCUUAAUUUUGAAAAAGUGGUCCAUGAAGCAUAAAUUCAUAAUCUUUUACCACACACACACCCUGAAGAAGGCCUGGAGGCACCUGAUGUGUGGCUACCUGGCCUGUGAGCCUGUUGGGAUGCAUCCACAAGGAUUUUGCAGGUUCAGAGCCCUACAGAGGUUUUACACCCACCCACAUGAGUUGUUCAACAAGUUCAAGGAGUCGAAAGGAAUUGUAACUUCUUUUCUGAUCUGGAGACUGUUUGGUAGGAACUUAUAUUAAAUUUGGCUCAAAAAUCAACAAACUUGCACAUGUCCAUGACCACAGAGAAGCAGCUCACAGACCCCCACCAACUGUAUGGAAGAUGAAAACCUUUGAUCUACAGCAAGCCUGGGAUUGUGGCAGUGACCUGAAUUUUCUUCUACACAGACUCUAAUUUUUUUUUUCCAUCCUGGUUUAUUUAAAUACGCUUAGUCAUAUGUCUGUGCUUAUGGCAAAUGUUCUAUUCACACUGAUGUCGUCUGCCUGAAAAUAAAGGUAUUGGUUUCCCACCUUGCACAUCCUAUUUUCAGUACUUCUGGAGUUCUGCUGCAGAGUUCUGUACCCUUAUAAUAGAUAGAUUUGGUGAAAUUUCUGCAGCAUUAAUAUGUGAAGCUGCCAUGGCUCCUCUUCUUUUGUCAGCCUCACUCUAAAAGCAGCUGACACGACAGCAAUUUCUCUAUUUUCUCCUCUUGGCACACCAGUGGACAAUCCCCAUCAUGCCCUUAAAUGUCUGUAUUACCAUCUUCAUGAUCCAGAAGAAGCAUGAAGGAGCAAAAGGUCUUUUUCAAGGCACCAGAGACAAAGAAGACUUAUUAUCAGUGCUAAAGCAGGAUGUGUGAAGUGUUUUCCAUGUUGAAGUGACCUUGUGCUAGUUUAAAGUAGAAAACGCAUCCUUCACUUCUAAUAAAAUGGUGAAACACAGUGA
Long non-coding RNA from Corvus hawaiiensis (hawaiian crow), 7044 nucleotides. RefSeq lists it as uncharacterized. The transcript is spliced from 4 exons. NCBI's taxonomy places the organism in Eukaryota, Metazoa, Chordata, Aves, Passeriformes, Corvidae. The record is from RefSeq and is a predicted model, not a curated record.